RNAcentral lists this ribosomal RNA (253 nucleotides) under uncultured bacterium. RNAcentral describes it as "partial 16S ribosomal RNA". It matches the Rfam family "Bacterial small subunit ribosomal RNA", at positions 524 to 776 of the family's 1533-position model. The record is from RNAcentral.
UACAGAGGGGGCAAGCGUUGUUCGGAAUUACUGGGCGUAAAGGGCGCGUAGGCGGCCUGCUAAGUCGAACGUGAAAUCCCCGGGCUCAACCCGGGAACUGCGUCCGAUACUGGCAGGCUUGAAUUCGGGAGAGGGAUGCGGAAUUCCAGGUGUAGCGGUGAAAUGCGUAGAGAUCUGGAGGAACACCGAUGGCGAAGGCAGCCUUCUGGGCCAACACUGACGCUCAUGCACGAAAGCGUGGGGAGCAAACAGG